GGAGGGGCUUGGCUAUUAUGUGCUUGAAAAGCGUAUUUUGCGGGACUUGGUAAGAGAGUGUGAUUGGUCUGUCAGGAAAUCCAAACUUGGAUAGCGCAACCCCAUACACCCACCCCAUUUCAGUUCGAAAGUAAAUUGUGUUGGUAGUUUGUUUUUUGUUGUGAUUUAUUAAUAUUUUUUAUAUAAUCAUCUUAUUCAUUUGUUGAUUGUUACUUUAUAAUAAUUGAGUGAUGAGUAUUUUAAAAUUCUGGACUGAAGGAUUACUUCCUAUUUUAUGAGUGUCAAUAGUCAAUUUAUCUCUUUUAUUGCUAUCCAAGCAAACAAUGCACUUAACGAGCUUUUUUUAGGGUCUCUUAACUUUACCUCUAAAAAACUACCAAGAUUAAGGCAUUUCUAUUCAGCGUCUCUGGCAUAGAUUUUCAAAUGAGUCUUUACUGUUAUAUUGCAACUACUAGAAAAAUGUAACUGGAUUAGAAACUUCUUCCCAUAAAAUAUAGAAUUAUUGUGUCUUCUUAAAGAAAUUGUCCAUCUUGUAAUCUAGUGCUCUGAGAUUCAUGUCUAGAAAUUAUGUAGUUCCAUAAGUCUAUCAUUUAUUAGAAGUAUGACCAUUUAAUAUGUAUAUCAUUACUUUGUCAUCACAUAGGUGUGUGGUUGGGGGAUCCUUUUACUUGACCUCAAUCUUUAGAAAUAUUAAGAAUUUAACAAUAUCUUACAAAAUUGAGUACCAACUUGAUGUUAUAGUAGUUUUUAUACAAAGAUAGCUAAAUAAAAGGCUUUUAAAUUGGUUAUUGGUCAUUUUAGAGGUAUCAGUUCGUGAUUUGGUUUUAAAUUGUUCAUGUUUGUAAAAUUCCUGCAAUUUGUUAGAUUUUGUUUUUGUCGUUGCAAUUUGUAGAAUGAUUUCCUCGAAGCACAACAUGUUUUGACAGUACAUUUGUAAACCUUCUACAUUUCAACUCGAUUUAGGAGUUCAUGUUGUUUGUCUACUAUAUAAUAUAUUGAGUGAUGAGUAUUUUAAAAUUCUGGACUGACGGUUUUUUUUUUUUUUUUAUGAGUGUCAAUAGUCAAAUUUAUCUCUUGUAUUGCUAUCCAAGGAAACAAUGCACUUAACAAGCUUUUGUUCUAGGGUUCCUUAACUUUCGUUCUAAAAAACUACCUAGAUUAGGGAAUUUCUAUGUAGCGUCUCAAGCAUAGAUUUUCAAAUGAGCCUUUACAACAUAUAUUGCAACUUAUAGAAAAAUGCCACUGGAUCAGAAACUUCUUCCCAUGUCUUCUGAAAGAAAUUGUCCAUCUUGUAAUCUAGUGCUCUGAGAUUAAUGUCUAGAAAUUAUGGUAGUUCCAUAAGCCUGUCAUUUAUUAUAAGUAUGACCAUUUAACACGUAUAUCAUCACUUUGUCAUCAUAUACGUGUUUGGAGGUGGGGGGGGGAGAUCCUUUUACUUGACUCUCAAUCUUUAGAAAAACAAAGAAUUUAACAAUAUCUUACAAAAUCGAGUACCAACUUCAUGUGAGAGUAUGUUUUAUAUUAAGAUAACUAAAUAAAAGUGCUUUUGAAAUGGUGAUUGCUCAUCUCUAGAAGUAUUAGUUGGGUGAUUUGGUUUUAAAUUGUUCAUGUUUGUAAAAUUCCUGCAAUUUUUUAGAUUUUAUAGCUUUUGUUUUUGUCGGUUGCAAUUUGUGGAAUGAUUUUCUUGAAGCACAUGUUUUGACAAUACAUUUCCAAUCCUUCUUCAUUUCAACUCUAUUUAGGAGUUCACAUCUUCACGUGCAAAGUCACUGCACUAGUGCAUGAUCUUCAUAAAUCUUGUCAAGAGGCCUGUAAUAAUCACGAUCUCCGCUGCUAGUUAGAAAAGGUAUAGUUAUGCCAUUACUUUAUGGAUUUUGGGUAUCCACUAUGGCUAAUAAUAAUUUAUUUUAUCUGCAGUUUUAGAGCAUUUCUGUAUUUGUUUGGCUCAAAUUUUUGGUUUGGUUUAAUCUAUUGUUUUUUUUGUUCGUGGUGGUGUUCUCCUUUCAGGAAUAUCAUGUAUCGGGUAUCCCAUUGGUAAUAUUGUUUUUGUUUGCUUACCAUGUUCCAAGUUUCAGGGUUCACUUGGAUUGGGGUAAUGGCAGUUGGGUUUCUUCGAAGAAGAUGGUUUCAUGAUUAUCUUAUAUUUUCUUUUCUCGACAAGGAAAUAUUAUCAUUAAUAUCUUAUGUUUUGUAGGUUAACUUGUUGAAUUGUUGCAUUCAUUAGGGAAAAGAGGGAGGGGCUUGGCUAUUAUGUGCAUGAAAAGCGUAUGUUGCGGGACUGGUAAGAGAGUGUGCUUGGUCUGUAAGGAUUUCCUUAUCCAAAACUUGGAUAGCGCAAC
Molecule: long non-coding RNA, 2339 nt
Filed under: Populus tremula
Lineage: Eukaryota; Viridiplantae; Streptophyta; Magnoliopsida; Malpighiales; Salicaceae
Description: long non-coding RNA (PTRE_LNC003135)
Source: RNAcentral